This 84-nucleotide small nuclear RNA is filed under the name Octodon degus (degu). RNAcentral describes it as "U4 spliceosomal RNA (ENSODEG00000023021.1)". It matches the Rfam family "U4 spliceosomal RNA", at positions 1 to 83 of the family's 138-position model. Rfam says of the family: U4 small nuclear RNA (U4 snRNA) is a component of the major U2-dependent spliceosome. The structure of U4 snRNA from yeast and human has been reported. Lineage: Eukaryota; Metazoa; Chordata; Mammalia; Rodentia; Octodontidae. The record is from Rfam by way of RNAcentral.
AGCUUUGUGCUGUGGCAGUAUUGUAACCAUUGAGGUCUAUCCGAGGCAUGAUUAUUGCUACUUCAAAUAUUCUUUAAAAAUAUC